UCGAGGAUCUUCGGCAAUGGGCGCAAGCCUGACCGAGCGACGCCGCGUGUGCGACGAAGGCCUUCGGGUUGUAAAGCACUGUCGAGGGGGAGAAAAGCCGAGAGGCCUGAUCUAUCCCUGGAGGAAGCACGGGCUAAGUUCGUGCCAGCAGCCGCGGUAAGACGAACCGUGCGAACGUUGUUCGGAAUCACUGGGCUUAAAGGGCGCGUAGGCGGGUGGCCGCGUCCGCGGUGAAAUCCCCCGGCUCAACCGGGGAAGUGCCGCGGGUACGGGCGACCUCGAGGCGGGUAGGGGCGUGCGGAACACUGGGUGGAGCGGUGAAAUGCGUUGAUAUCCAGUGGAACUCCGGUGGCGAAGGCGGCACGCUGGACCCGAUCUGACGCUGAGGCGCGAAAGCCAGGGGAGCGAACG
RNAcentral lists this ribosomal RNA (411 nucleotides) under uncultured Gemmata sp. RNAcentral describes it as "bacterial SSU rRNA". It matches the Rfam family "Bacterial small subunit ribosomal RNA", at positions 355 to 774 of the family's 1533-position model. Lineage: Bacteria; Pseudomonadati; Planctomycetota; Planctomycetia; Gemmatales; Gemmataceae. The record is from RNAcentral.